GCAGAAUGUCUCCGAUUCGUGAGAGAAUGCUGAAUGCCAAAUUAGCUAGAACUCGGGAGUACGCUUCGAUUAUCGCUUGUCCAACGUCCUACGUGCGGAAAGUUCAAGGAAUCAACAAUAGUUGGGAGUGAAUUGAGAAAUUGGAUCUUUCAUGAAGGACCAUGACGUCCGAACAGGCAUCGAUUCUGAGCUCAACAUCCUGUGGAGCUCCUCCCCGAGGGCUGCCUUACCAGACUGCAAAAACAAACAGCAAAUAAUGAAUCGGCAUUUCGGCCAAGACGCUUUCAUUGAUGGCUUUGACAGCUUUGAAAACUUGAUAUAUCAAUUUACCGUGAUGCAGUAACCGUUUUCUCUCCAUGUCUGAGAGGCCAGAUCUAGGUACACAUGGAGAAGGAAGCCACCAUCGUUUGCUCUCUCCUGCGCUCCUGCUCCGCCCUUCUGCUCGGCUCCCCACUUCCGAGUACCAGAAUUCGGUGCCAACCAUUGAAUCGAGUGCUUCCUAUGAGUUCACAAAAUCAGUUUAAGUAAUCUGCUGAAAAGUUAAAAUCAAUUCCAGAGCGAAGAGGCCACCUACAAUUAGCAUGGAAUCCAACUUCCGCAGCGCUGGAAGAUUCAUUUGGACGUCAGCACGAACUCUUGGAACCAUUAUCUAUUCCAAAUCAGAGUGAAGCCUAAGAAUCACUACUACUGAAAUUUUGAAGGAUUGGAAGUAAGGAUUAUGGAGCACGUACCUCCAUCGAACGCCCUUUAGUACCGGUUUGUUUUGCAGGAACUAACUCAACCAUAUGUUCAGUCGGCGAAAGCAGCCAAUCCAUUUCUCUUCGCCACUGUCUCUUUCUCUCCUCCGGCAAUGGCUCCAGCUUCCACAGCUCUCCAAAAACAGAAGCUGCUGAAUUUGUUAUGGCAUUGGACAAAGCUAAUGCAGUGGAAAUCCCUUUAGCACCUCCAGUGAUAUCCUCUCCAAGCAACAAGUUGGCGAAUUUUUCCCUCAUUGCUUCAACUUCCGGAGGGUGGCUGGUGCAGCCGAGUUGUUUUUCUUUUUCUGCUGAGGUUGCUGAGCUGUUAUAUUCGUCUCGAGACGUGUCCUCUUUCUUCAUUGUCAUCCAGAUAGAUGAGAAUGACCCAAAUGCAUUGGUACUGGAAGAACAGGUGGAAUCAUCGUCAUCGAAGGAAUCAGUGAUGCAACCGUCUCCUCUGCUCGUCCCGCUUUCGUUCUCGAAGGAAUUGCUGUUGUGAAUGCACGUCUCCAGGCCACUGUACGUCAUUAUUCCUGAAAGCAGAUGGUUUUCGAGUUAGUGUUCUUGAAGAUGAUCCUGGCUGCAAAAAGGAAACAAAAACAGUCCAGCAAGGGAGUUUCUUCCCCAUGAUCAUUCCUGUGCUGCUCAUGUGAAGAAAUUGAAAGAGAAAACUCUUCAGCAAUCAAGAAAACACAAAAUGGCACCAUAAUUGGAAGAGAAAACGCGAAGGGGGAACAAGAACUACUGCGUUUUUGUACCCUGAGAAGAACAGAGGUAAGGAUUCUUGCUUAUCAAAACCUUGGAAUUUCAGGGGAAAAGGAAAUGGAAAUGUGAGAUCAAGAAUGUGAG
Long non-coding RNA from Andrographis paniculata, 1586 nucleotides. RefSeq lists it as uncharacterized. The transcript is spliced from 6 exons. NCBI's taxonomy places the organism in Eukaryota, Viridiplantae, Streptophyta, Magnoliopsida, Lamiales, Acanthaceae. The record is from RefSeq and is a predicted model, not a curated record.